GGGGGUGACAUGGCUUCGACGCCGGUUUCAAACCCUGAGGUGCAUGUCGAGAGGGUAACGUAUCUCGUAAAUCCAGCGUUACAAUUUUAUAGUCGCAAACGACGAAAACUACGCUCUAGCAGCUUAAUUGCUGCUCCCUCAGACGGAAGAUGCCUGUAUCUUCUAGACGAGGUAUGAGCCCGCGAAACAGGCUCGAAGCAACGUCCGUCUCAGGCCGCGCUUCUAAAACUUUUAGAGACUCGCGCUAGGCAAUCCUGUUCGUUGGAGUGCCAGGCGUUAAACUAAAAAACGAAACUAAGCAUGUAGAGCCGAUGGCAGAGGACUGGCGGACGGGGGUUCGACUCCCCCCACCUCCACCA
Molecule: transfer-messenger RNA, 359 nt
Filed under: Oceanospirillum linum
Lineage: Bacteria; Pseudomonadati; Pseudomonadota; Gammaproteobacteria; Oceanospirillales; Oceanospirillaceae
Also listed under: 1 other name
Description: Standard tmRNA
Rfam family: transfer-messenger RNA
About the family: Bacterial tmRNA, also known as 10Sa RNA or SsrA, is named for its dual tRNA and mRNA-like properties.
Source: Rfam by way of RNAcentral